This 468-nucleotide ribosomal RNA is filed under the name uncultured bacterium. RNAcentral's name for it is "partial 16S ribosomal RNA". It matches the Rfam family "Bacterial small subunit ribosomal RNA", at positions 28 to 507 of the family's 1533-position model. The record is from RNAcentral.
GACGAACGCUGGCGGCGUGCUUAACACAUGCAAGUCGAACGGAAAGGCCCUGCUUUUGUGGGGUGCUCGAGUGGCGAACGGGUGAGUAACACGUGAGUAACCUGCCCUUGACUUUGGGAUAACUUCAGGAAACUGGGGCUAAUACCGGAUAGGAGCUCCUGCUGCAUGGUGGGGGUUGGAAAGUUUCGGCGGUCGGGGAUGGACUCGCGGCUUAUCAGCUUGUUGGUGGGGGAGUGGCUUACCAAGGCUUUGACGGGUAGCCGGCCUGAGAGGGUGACCGGCCACAUUGGGACUGAGAUACGGCCCAGACGCCUACGGGAGGCAGCAGUGGGGAAUAUUGCACAAUGGGCGGAAGCCUGAUGCAGCAACGCCGCGUGCGGGAUGACGGCCUUCGGGUUGUAAACCGCUUUCGCCUGUGACGAAGCGUGAGUGACGGUAAUGGGUAAAGAAGCACCGGCUAACUACGUG